UAAUCAUGUUGUUCUGAAGUCAGUCGAGGCCGGCCAGUGUCUUGGAAGAAGCAGCGAGAUGCAGACUCAAAUUAAAGUCGCGGCAUUUCUUUUCAUCGCCGGAAUUUUCCUUGUGCAGGCCGUGGAUCAGACUAACUCACAUCGAAGACAAAUCGCUCGCCGGAGUGUUGAGGAUUAUGACUCAAAUAAUGAUAGUUAUUUAAGUGGAACUGAAGCAACUGACCAAAGCAUCGAACAUGAAAUUUAUGCAGAAGCCGAUGAAAAAGAAACUGAGCCUGCUGGUGAUGAGACUGAUGAGGGGCUUCUAAAAUCUUUCAGUUCUAAAGCAAAGGUCACAUUAUAUAAAAUUAAAAAAAUCCCCAGUGAAGUAAGCACCUUUUUCAGUCGAUUUGUAAGCAACAAUUUUUAGAUGUACCGCAAAACUUUUAGGUAUGACCUUUCUUUGUAUGAACAAUAAAAGACAUUUUUAUAACUUACA
Molecule: long non-coding RNA, 478 nt
Organism: Neocloeon triangulifer
Lineage: Eukaryota; Metazoa; Arthropoda; Insecta; Ephemeroptera; Baetidae
Exons: 2
Source: RefSeq, a predicted model, not a curated record